AGAGUUUGAUCAUGGCUCAGAUUGAACGCUGGCGGCAUGCCUAACACAUGCAAGUCGAACGGUAACGACGGGAGCUUGCUCCCGGGCGACGAGUGGCGGACGGGUGAGUAAUACUUAGGAAUCUGCCCAGUAGUGGGGGACAACUCGAGGAAACUCGAGCUAAUACCGCAUACGCCCUACGGGGGAAAGCGGGGGAUCUUCGGACCUCGCGCUAUUGGAUGAGCCUAAGUCGGAUUAGCUUGUAGGUAGGGUAACGGCCUACCUAGGCGACGAUCCGUAGCUGGUCUGAGAGGACGAUCAGCCACACUGGAACUGAGACACGGUCCAGACUCCUACGGGAGGCAGCAGUGGGGAAUAUUGGACAAUGGGCGCAAGCCUGAUCCAGCAAUGCCGCGUGUGUGAAGAAGGCCUGCGGGUUGUAAAGCACUUUCAGUGGAGAAGAAAAGCCUACGGUUAAUAACCGUGAGUCUUGACGUAACCCACAGAAGAAGCACCGGCUAACUCCGUGCCAGCAGCCGCGGUAAUACGGAGGGUGCGAGCGUUAAUCGGAAUUACUGGGCGUAAAGCGCGCGUAGGCGGUUUGGUCAGUCGAAUGUGAAAGCCCAGGGCUUAACCUUGGAACUGCGUUCGAUACUGCCUGACUAGAGUAUGGUAGAGGGAAGUGGAAUUUCCGGUGUAGCGGUGAAAUGCGUAGAUAUCGGAAGGAACACCAGUGGCGAAGGCGACUUCCUGGGCCAAUACUGACGCUGAGGUGCGAAAGCGUGGGGAGCAAACAGGAUUAGAUACCCUGGUAGUCCACGCCGUAAACGAUGAGAACUAGAUGUCGGGAGGGUUGCCUUUCGGUGUCGCAGCUAACGCGUUAAGUUCUCCGCCUGGGGAGUACGCCGGCAACGGUAAAACUCAAAUGAAUUGACGG
RNAcentral lists this ribosomal RNA (916 nucleotides) under uncultured bacterium. RNAcentral's name for it is "bacterial SSU rRNA". It matches the Rfam family "Bacterial small subunit ribosomal RNA", at positions 8 to 916 of the family's 1533-position model. The record is from RNAcentral.